This 405-nucleotide ribosomal RNA is filed under the name uncultured soil bacterium. Its description in RNAcentral is "bacterial SSU rRNA". It matches the Rfam family "Bacterial small subunit ribosomal RNA", at positions 26 to 419 of the family's 1533-position model. The record is from RNAcentral.
AGAUUGAACGCUGGCGGCAGGCCUAACACAUGCAAGUCGAGCGGUAGAGAGGUGCUUGCACCUCUUGAGAGCGGCGGACGGGUGAGUAAUGCCUAGGAAUCUGCCUAGUGGUGGGGGAUAACGUUCGGAAACGGACGCUAAUACCGCAUACGUCCUACGGGAGAAAGCGGGGGACCUUCGGGCCUCGCGCCAUUAGAUGAGCCUAGGUCGGAUUAGCUAGUUGGUGAGGUAAUGGCUCACCAAGGCGACGAUCCGUAACUGGUCUGGAGAGGAUGAUCAGUCACACGUGGAACUGGAGACGACGGUCCAGACCUCCGUAACGGGAGCAGCAGGUGGGAAUAGUGGAACAAGUGGGACGUAAAGCCGUAGAUCCAGUCCAGUCGCCGCGUGUGUAGGAAGAGGUUC